Molecule: long non-coding RNA, 1431 nt
Filed under: Trifolium pratense (red clover)
Lineage: Eukaryota; Viridiplantae; Streptophyta; Magnoliopsida; Fabales; Fabaceae
Description: long non-coding RNA (TPRA_LNC003561)
Source: RNAcentral
CUCAUCUCUCAGAAUCACUUAUUCACAAUCGCUUCUUCACUUCUUCACAAUCUGUUUCAUCACCAUCAACACCGAAUCCCUAACUCGAUCUCGUUCAAAAUCUCCUUCGUCACCAACGCCGUUCAUCACCAUCUUCGAUUCAUCACCAAAUCGCAUUCUCUGAUUCAUCACCAACGCCGUUCAUCACCAUCGUCGAUGCAUCCAAUUUCUUCAUCUUUCGAAUCUGGAAUUCACCAUUGCACCAUCGCCGAUUCAUUCCUGAUUCACUGAUCUCACAUCAAAAGCGUUCUCCAUUUGGUAACCGACGCCGCAUUUUUCUGAUCUAUUAUUGAUUCGAUCUAUUAUUGAUUCGAGGUAUCUAAAACUAUGCUUAACUUCUCUUUUAUGAUUGAUUAACUCAAUAUGUUGUUCUGAAUAUUGCAAUAUUAUAUAUGAGUGAUUGAUUAUGAAGUAGGAUUUAGGUGUUUCAGCUUAUAUGUGUUUGAUUUUGGUGUUUUUGAUUUUACAAUUACUCCAACCAUCGAUAAGAUGAGAGCAGUGGAAUUGUUCUAGGUAAUUGUAUGUUGAGAAUAAUCUGAUUUAUUGAAAAAAAUGAGAAGGAGAAAGUACUCUGAUUUGCUAAUAUGAGAACUUCCUUAGUGCUCAUUGAACCAUAUUACUUUGCAGCCGAACUCCAUAUUACUAACGCUCCCUUCCCCUAAGAAUCGGAGGGUUAAAAAAAAAAAACUUAUUUGGACCAUGCAUGCUAUGGAUCAAAUUAACAUGCCAUUUAGACUUCAUAUAUUUGAGUUAUCAAAUUUUCUUUUGACUCAGUUUGAGUUAUCAAAUUAAUUUUGUUUAAGUCAAAGUAUAUGAAUAGGUAGGGUAGUUCUAAUCAUUAUUGUCAAGGGACCAGAUUCAAGAGAGACUUUGCAAUUCUAUUAAUAUAUGGCUGGUAGAGUUUUAAUUUUCAGUACUAAAUUUUGGAGAUUUAAUUACUUGUUAUGCAAAAUUUAGUAGUAACUUCAUAGUAGCUACUUUUAGUUCAAGUUUAAAUAAUUGUUGUACCGUGAAUGUAGGAACUGUUGUUUUUAGGGGUAAUCAGCUCGUCUUAUUCAUUGAUCAUAAGGCCUUUUAUAGGCAAAGUACAAUAGCUUGCAGUCCAAGCCAACCUGUUGGCUGUGCAAGCCUGCAGGCAAGGCAGGCCAGGCUUAGGCGCGCGCGCACAUCUGCAGGCNNNNNNNNNNNNNNNNNNNNNNNNNNNNNNNNNNNNNNNNNNNNNNNNNNNNNNNNNNNNNAAGGCAAGGCAGGCCAGGCUUAGGCGCGCGCGCACAUCUGCAGGCCAGCAGGCAUGGCUUGGCUUAGGCUGCAGCCAAUUUCUUAUCUUACAAGCUAACCAAUAUCCUAACAGGAACUAGACAACUAGUUUGGUGGUUUGGUUGCAACUGGGAU